This 468-nucleotide ribosomal RNA is filed under the name uncultured bacterium. Its description in RNAcentral is "bacterial SSU rRNA". It matches the Rfam family "Bacterial small subunit ribosomal RNA", at positions 39 to 507 of the family's 1533-position model. The record is from RNAcentral.
GCGGGAGGCCUAACACAUGCAAGCCGAGCGGUAGAGAUUCUUCGGAAUCUUGAGAGCGGCGUACGGGUGCGGAACACGUGUGCAACCUACCUUUAUCUGGAGGAUAGCCUUUCGAAAAGGAAGAUUAAUACUCCAUAAUAUAUUGAUUGGCAUCAAUUGAUAUUGAAAGCUCCGGCGGAUAGAGAUGGGCACGCGCAAGAUUAGUUAGUUGGUGAGGUAACGGCUCACCAAGACGAUGAUCUUUAGGGGCCUGAGAAGGUGAUCCCCCACACUGGUACUGAGACACGGACCAGACUCCUAUGGGAGGCAGCAGUGAGGAAUAUUGGUCAAUGGGUGCAAGCCUGAACCAGCCAUCCCGCGUGAAGGACGACUGCCCUAUGGGUUGUAAACUUCUUUUGUAUAGGGAUAAACCUACCCUCGUGAGGGUAGCUGAAGGUACUAUACGAAUAAGCACCGGCUAACUCCGUG